CCUACGGGCGACAGCAGUGGGGAAUAUUGCGCAAUGGGCGAAAGCCUGACGCAGCGACGCCGCGUGAGGGAUGAAGGUCUUCGGAUCGUAAACCUCUGUCAGCAGGGAAGAACGGUCACUGUGCUAAUCAGCAGUGAAUUGACGGUACCUGCAAAGGAAGCACCGGCUAACUCCGUGCCAGCAGCCGCGGUAAUACGGAGGGUGCGAGCGUUAAUCGGAAUUACUGGGCGUAAAGCGCUCGUAGGCGGUAUGUCAAGUCAAGGGUGAAAUCCCCGCGCUCAACGUGGGAACUGCCUUUGAAACUGGCAGACUGGAGUGUGUGAGAGGAUAGUGGAAUUCCAGGUGUAGGAGUGAAAUCCGUAGAUAUCUGGAGGAACAUCAGUGGCGAAGGCGACUAUCUGGCACAUAACUGACGCUGAGGAGCGAAAGCGUGGGUAGCAAACAGGAUUAGAUACCCUAGUAGUC
RNAcentral lists this ribosomal RNA (465 nucleotides) under uncultured bacterium. RNAcentral describes it as "partial 16S ribosomal RNA". It matches the Rfam family "Bacterial small subunit ribosomal RNA", at positions 338 to 795 of the family's 1533-position model. The record is from RNAcentral.